Molecule: long non-coding RNA, 622 nt
Organism: Camelina sativa (false flax)
Lineage: Eukaryota; Viridiplantae; Streptophyta; Magnoliopsida; Brassicales; Brassicaceae
Source: RefSeq, a predicted model, not a curated record
CCUUUGUUUCUUUCAUACUCCUCUAGUCAUCUCUUUCACACUACAACAGAACCAAAAACCAAACGAGCAAAAACUUUUGACUUUUGAAUCAAGAUUUGCUUAUAUCUCGAUGGACUUCGACCAACCCACACCGCAGCCAUCUUCUUGAAAUGGAUCCGACAACCGUUGACCGGAGCAACUCAGACUCAUUGGAAACAUCAACGGGAAACCAUUCAAGCUACGGAGACUUUUCACCUUCUUUCUUUGUUUCCAUAAAUCUGAUGGACGCAGCACAAGAGCCUUGUGAAGAGAAGGAGAUGUGCAACCAAGAAGGCUAGUGAAAUACUGGAACGGAGGUGACCACAAAAGUUGAGAAACGACUCAACGAGCUAUUCAAGAUGUUUCGAUUAAGAAGAAAAACCUGUAGAUGUGUUUUUUGUCUUAGUUUUUUUGUAACAAAAUUAUACAAUAAAACAAAAAUCAUAAUGUGUUUUUAUGAUAAGAACCCACAAAACAAUUGAAGACAAAUAAUCCCAAUAGGAUUAGUGUAAAAUGUAUAUAUAAAAAAUUAUGUACUAUCUUUGUAAAAUUACUUAUUGUAAAAUAACUGUUAAUAAUAUCAAUAAAUAUUGUUAUUUUUUAA